CCUACGUGUGGCAGCAGUGAGGAAUAUUGGUCAAUGGGCGCGAGCCUGAACCAGCCAAGUAGCGUGAAGGAUGACUGCCCUACGGGUUGUACACUUCUUUUGUAAAGGAAUAAAGUGAGGCACGUGUGCCUUUUUGUAUGUACUUUAUGAAUAAGGAUCGGCUAACUACGCGCCAGCAGCCGCGGUAAGACGGAGGAGCCGAUCUUUAUUCGGAUUUAUUGGGUUUAAAGGGAGCGUAGAUGGAUGGUUAAGUCAGUUGUGAAAGUUUGCGGCUCAACCGUAAAAUUGCAAUUGAUACUGGCAGCCUUGAGUACAGUUGAGGUAAGCGGAAUUCGUGGUGUAGCGGUGAAAUGCGUAGAUAUCACGAAGAACUCCGAUGGCGAAGGCAGCCUACUAAACUGCCACUGACAUUGAUGCUCGAAAGUGUGGGUAUCAAACAGGAUUAGAUACCCCAGUAGUC
RNAcentral lists this ribosomal RNA (460 nucleotides) under uncultured bacterium. RNAcentral describes it as "partial 16S ribosomal RNA". It matches the Rfam family "Bacterial small subunit ribosomal RNA", at positions 338 to 795 of the family's 1533-position model. The record is from RNAcentral.